UGCUGCAUGGCUGUCGUCAGCUCGUGUCGUGAGAUGGUUGGGUUAACGUCCCGUAACGAGCGCAACCUUGUCCUUAGUUACCAGCACGUUAUGGUGGGCACUCUAAGGAGACUGCCGGUGACAAACCGGAGGAAGGUGGGGAUGACGUCAAGUCAUCAUGGCCCUUACGGCCUGGGCUACACACGUGCUACAAUGGUCGGUACAAAGGGUUGCCAAGCCGCGAGGUGGAGCUAAUCCCAUAAAACCGAUCGUAGUCCGGAUCGCAGUCUGCAACUCGACUGCGUGAAGUCGGAAUCGCUAGUAAUCGUGAAUCAGAAUGUCACGGUGAAUACGUUCCCGGGCCUU
RNAcentral lists this ribosomal RNA (345 nucleotides) under uncultured Pseudomonas sp. RNAcentral's name for it is "bacterial SSU rRNA". It matches the Rfam family "Bacterial small subunit ribosomal RNA", at positions 1039 to 1382 of the family's 1533-position model. Lineage: Bacteria; Pseudomonadati; Pseudomonadota; Gammaproteobacteria; Pseudomonadales; Pseudomonadaceae. The record is from RNAcentral.